RNAcentral lists this unclassified non-coding RNA (203 nucleotides) under Hevea brasiliensis (rubber tree). The record is from RNAcentral. Lineage: Eukaryota; Viridiplantae; Streptophyta; Magnoliopsida; Malpighiales; Euphorbiaceae.
AUAGAUACAAGUGAAAAGGGAUUGCGUGGAUCAAUCCCAGAGAAUUUUCCGUACUUCCAUGUAGAAUUUGGGUUGAACAAGGGGUUUGUUCAUGUGAUAGAUGACGAAAAUAAUUUCAAGACCAGCUUUGGCCUCAAUGUUAUCAGGGGCAUGUUGCAGCUAGCCGAGGAAGAUAUGCACCGACGUCGUAGAUAUGAGUCCGU